AGAUUGAACGCUGGCGGCAUGCCUAACACAUGCAAGUCGAACGGGAGUAGCAAUACUCUAGUGGCGGACGGGUGAGGAAUACGUAGGAAUUUGCCCUUAAGUGGGGGAUAACCCGGGGAAACCCGGAUUAAUACCGCAUGACCUCGAAAGAGCAAAGUGGGGGAUCGCAAGACCUCACGCUUUUGGAGAAGCCUACGUCGGAUUAGCUAGUUGGUGAGGUAAUGGCUCACCAAGGCGACGAUCCGUAACUGGUCCUGAGAGGAUGAUCAGUCACACCGGAACUGAGACACGGUCCGGACUCCGUACGGGAGGCAGCAGGUGGGGAAUAGUUGGACAACGUGGGCCGACAAGGCCUGACGUCCAGCUAAAUGCCGCGUGUGUGAAGGAAGG
RNAcentral lists this ribosomal RNA (390 nucleotides) under uncultured soil bacterium. Its description in RNAcentral is "bacterial SSU rRNA". It matches the Rfam family "Bacterial small subunit ribosomal RNA", at positions 26 to 415 of the family's 1533-position model. The record is from RNAcentral.